Xyrauchen texanus (razorback sucker) is the source of this 743-nucleotide long non-coding RNA. RefSeq lists it as uncharacterized. NCBI's taxonomy places the organism in Eukaryota, Metazoa, Chordata, Actinopteri, Cypriniformes, Catostomidae. The record is from RefSeq and is a predicted model, not a curated record. The transcript is spliced from 4 exons.
UCCAGGUUGUUCCGGGGGGAUUGUCCCUGUAAUAAGUGCUCUGUAUAAUACAUUGGUACUCAGAAGGUUGCUGGUUUGAUCCCCACAGUCACCACCAUUGUGUCCUUGAGUAAGACACUUAACUCCAGGUUGCUCCGGGGGGAUUGUCCCUGUAAUAAGUGCUCUGUAUAAUACAUUGGUACUCAGAAGGUUGCUGGUUUGAUCCCCACAGUCACCACCAUUGUGUCCUUGAGUAAGGCACUUAACUCCAGGUUGCUCCGGGGGGAUUGUCCCUGUAAUAAGUGCUCUGUAUAAUACAUUGGUACUCAGGAGGUUGCUGGUUUGAUCCCCACAGUCACCACCAUUGUGUCCUUGAGUAAGGCACUUAACUCCAGGUUGCUCCGGGGGGAUUGUCCCUGUAAUAAGUGCUCUGUAUAAUACAUUGGUACUCAGAAGGUUGCUGGUUUGAUCCCCACAGUCACCACCAUUGUGUCCUUGAGUAAGACACUUAACUCCAGGUUGCUCCGGGGGGAUUGUCCCUGUAAUAAGUGCUCUGUAUAAUACAUUGGUACUCAGAAGGUUGCUGGUUUGAUCCCCACAGUCACCACCAUUGUGUCCUUGAGUAAGACACUUAACUCCAGGUUGCUCCGGGGGGAUUGUCCCUGUAAUAAGUGCUCUGUAUAAUACAUUGGUACUCAGAAGGUUGCUGGUUCGAUCCCCACAGUCACCACCAUUGUGUCCUUGAGUAAGACACUUAACUCCAG